ACGGGUAGCUGGUCUGAGAGGAUGAUCAGCCACACUGGAACUGAGACACGGUCCAGACUCCUACGGGAGGCAGCAGUGGGGAAUCUUGCGCAAUGGGCGAAAUGCCUGACGCAGCGACGCCGCGUGAGCGAUGAAGGCCUUAGGGUUGUAAAGCUCUGUGGAGAGGGACGAAUAAGCACGGGCGAAUACCCCGUGUGAUGACGGUACCUUUUUAGCAAGCACCGGCUAACUCUGUGCCAGCAGCCGCGGUAAGACAGAGGGUGCAAACGUUGUUCGGAAUUACUGGGCGUAAAGCGCGUGUAGGCUGUUGCGAAAGUCGGGUGUGAAAUCCCUGGGCUCAACCCAGGAAGUGCACUCGAAACUACGCGACUAGAGUCUCGGAGAGGGAAGCGGAAUUCUGGGUGUAGAGGUGAAAUUCGUAGAUAUCCAGAGGAACACCAGUGGCGAAGGCGGCUUCCUGGACCAUCUCAGACGAUGGGGCGCGACAGCCUGAUGAUCAAACAGGCUUAGAUACCCUGGCAGUCAUA
This 527-nucleotide ribosomal RNA is filed under the name uncultured bacterium. RNAcentral's name for it is "bacterial SSU rRNA". It matches the Rfam family "Bacterial small subunit ribosomal RNA", at positions 279 to 799 of the family's 1533-position model. The record is from RNAcentral.